This 498-nucleotide ribosomal RNA is filed under the name uncultured bacterium. RNAcentral describes it as "partial 16S ribosomal RNA". It matches the Rfam family "Bacterial small subunit ribosomal RNA", at positions 30 to 523 of the family's 1533-position model. The record is from RNAcentral.
AUUGAACGCUAGCGGCAGGCCUAAUACAUGCAAGUCGAGGGAGAAUGUUGGAUUCGUCUGACAUGAAACCGGCGCACGGGUGCGUAACACGUAUGCAACCUACCUUUAACUGGGGUAUAGCUCAGAGAAAUCUGAAUUAAUCCCCCAUAAGACUACGACAUGGCAUCAUGAUGUAGUUAAAGCUCCGGCGGUUAAGGAUGGGCAUGCGGUACAUUAGCUAGUUGGUGAGGUAAUGGCUCACCAAGGCUAAGAUGUAUAGGGGGUCUGAGAGGAUGAUCCCCCACACUGGUACUGAGACACGGACCAGACUCCUACGGGAGGCAGCAGUAGGGAAUAUUGGUCAAUGGACGCAAGUCUGAACCAGCCAUGCCGCGUGAAGGAUGAAGGCCCUAUGGGUCGUAAACUUCUUUUAUUAGGGAAGAAAAAACGGGAUGCGUCCUGUACUGACGGUACUUAAUGAAUAAGGAUCGGCUAACUUCGUGCCAGCCGCCGCAGUAA